AUGGCAGAGGCUGCUGUUACUGCGGUGCUCGGAAACUUGAGCAACAUUGCGAUCCAGGAGACCACAUUCUUGUGUGCAGUCACCCUUGAAGUGGGGCUCUUGAGAGCUGAGCUGGUGAGGUUGCAGGCCUACCUCAAAGACGCUGACAGAAAAUGGAGGUCAGGAAAUGUAAGAGUUGCUGUCUUGGUGAGCCAGAUCAGAGAUGUGGCGUAUGAGGCUCAGAAUGUCAUCGAAGCUGCAGAUUACAUGGAGAAGAGAAACAGGCUAAAGAGGGGUUUCAUGGGUGCCAUCUCAAGGUAUGCUCGUUUGCCGAGUGACUUGGUCACCCUUCAUAGUGUCGGUGCGAAAAUUCAGAGAGUAAAGAGGAAGCUUACUGAUAUUUUUGCAAGUGCAGCAAAUUUGGAAAUUCAUUUGGGUGACACUUCUGUGGUUGAGGAUGAGUUUCCAACGGAUUUCGGUCAUAUGCACCAAAACUCUGAUGAUGAUAUUUUCAUGGUUGGUUUUGAGGAUGAGCAUAAAGAAAUAGUGGACAAAUUAGUUGACAAUGAGGAAAUGCUUAGUGCUGUGUCCAUAGUUGCCAUGGGUGGAGCAGGGAAAACUACACUCGCAAGAAAAGUAUACACUUCAUCCAGAGUUAAAGAGCACUUCAACACAGUUGCUUGGGUGACUGUAUCUCAAACAUUCAAGGGCAUUGAGUUACUAAAGGAUAUUAUGAAACAAAUAAUAGAGGACAAAGAUGGCUGUAAAGAAAUUGAUGAAAUGGAUGAGUACCAGUUGGGAAAGAAGAUCCAUGACUUCCUCUUGCAAAAAAGAUACCUAGUAGUUCUCGAUGAUGUGUGGGAAACUGACACAUGGGAGCAGUUGAACACAACAGUUAAAGCCUUUCCAGAUGCAUCAAAUGGUAGCAGAGUAUUGUUAACUACACGGAAGGAAGAUGUUGCAAAUCAUGUUCAGAUGCCAACCCAUGUUCAUUAUCUGAAGAAGCUAGAUGAAGAGAGGAGUUGGGAGCUUUUUAGUAGCAAAGCACUACCAUCAUAUAAAAGGUCUUCUAUAGAUGAUGUGGAUGAGUUUGAAAAACUUGGAAGAAAGCUUGUAGACAAGUGUGAUGGAUUGCCACUUGCACUUGCAAUAUUGGGUGGUUAUCUGGCAAAGAAUCUAAAUAUAGAAGCAUGGUCAUAUGUACUAUUGGGUUGGGUGUCAAUUGAUGAUUCAAAGAGGAUGAGAGACAUACUAGCUCGCAGUUACAAAGACCUAUCAAGUCAUUAUAUAAGAUCUUGUUUUCUCUAUCUUGCUGCUUUUCCCGAGGAUUUUGUAAUAAUCGUGUCAGAUCUUAUUCAGUUAUGGAUAGCAGAAGGCUUCAUUCCCCAUAUACCAAACCAUAAACCAGAACAAAUAGCACACAUGUAUGUAACCGAGUUGGCUCAAAGAAGUCUUGUCCAAGUUGUUGACAGAAGCAAGGGACACAGAUGGAUUGAGAGAAUACAACUUCAUGAUAUCUUACGUGAGUGGUGCAUAGAAGAAGCAAGACAAGAUGGUUUUCUUGAUGUCAAUACUGAAAUUACAGGCCAAGUUAGUGCAUCAUCUUCUAAUACCCAGAAAUUCUAUCGCUCCACUCUCCAAAACUCUGGUGAUCUGUUUUUACAGACAACACUCGAUCUACGAACUCUCAUUGGCUUUCAACUUUCAUCAAUACCCAAGAUGACUUUUCUACGAGUUCUUCGCAUUGAAAAUUCAAGCUUAAGUGGUGCCUCUAGAAUAAUCUAUGGGUGCAUUAACCUUAGAUGUCUCAGGUUGAGACGGUGUUCCGGUUUCGCGCUCACUUCUUCAAUUAGAAAACUCCUGUAUCUGCAAACUAUCGAUUUGGCAAGCACAUGGCACUCAAGCAAGAAUCUCAUGCCAAAAUCCUUCUGGCAUAUCCCGACCCUAAGGCAUGUUUACCUUAAUGACGGGUUUCCGCCACCUAAGAGGAGUGUUCACCAAAACAACCUUGAGACCUUUGCCGUUCAAAUUCUUCAUAAUAACAUGGUCAAGUUUGUGAGCCAAAUGACAAAACUAACAACCUUAUGCCUUUGUUUUACCAAUAAAGCUAAGGACUUGUUGUGUAUAUUUGCGAACAUGCCUCACCUAGUUCAUCUUACCAUUGGUCGGGUUCCCUCAUUUUCUUAG
This 2166-nucleotide ribosomal RNA is filed under the name Triticum aestivum (bread wheat). RNAcentral describes it as "partial small subunit ribosomal RNA". The record is from RNAcentral. Lineage: Eukaryota; Viridiplantae; Streptophyta; Magnoliopsida; Poales; Poaceae.